CGGGCGAGUAACACGUAGCUAACCUACCCCAGGGAUGGGGAUAACCCCUCGAAAGGGGGGCUAAUACCCAAUAAAGAGUCCUGUAUAAUGAUGGGGCUCCAAAGGCCUUAUGGCGCCCUGGGAUGGGGCUGCGUCCCAUCAGGUAGUUGGUGAGGUAACGGCUCACCAAGCCUACGACGGGUAGCCGGCCUGAGAGGGUGGCCGGCCACAGCGGGACUGANACACGGCCCGCACCCCUACGGGGGGCAGCAGUGGGGAAUAUUGGGCAAUGGCCGGAAGGCUGACCCNAGCGACGCCGCGUGGNUGGAUGAAGCCCUUCGNGGUGUAAACACCUGUCAGGGGGGAAGAUAAUGACGGUACCCCCGGAGGAAGGGACGGCUAACUACGUGCCAGCAGCCGCGGUAAUACGUAGGUNCCCGAACGUUGCGCGAAGGGCGAAUUCGUUUAAACCUNCAGGACUAGUCCCUUUAGUGAGGGUUA
Molecule: ribosomal RNA, 480 nt
Filed under: uncultured Persephonella sp.
Lineage: Bacteria; Pseudomonadati; Aquificota; Aquificia; Aquificales; Hydrogenothermaceae
Description: bacterial SSU rRNA
Rfam family: Bacterial small subunit ribosomal RNA (bases 1-429)
Source: RNAcentral